Molecule: long non-coding RNA, 4053 nt
Organism: Talpa occidentalis (Iberian mole)
Lineage: Eukaryota; Metazoa; Chordata; Mammalia; Eulipotyphla; Talpidae
Exons: 3
Source: RefSeq, a predicted model, not a curated record
UUCAAGUCCAAGGCCUACAAAACAAGUUUUCCUUUGAAGGUCAGCAGCUCUGAUUACAUUUCUUUAUUUAGAACAUUGUUUUGUUGAAGCUGAUUCCAUUACUUUUGAGUUCACAGAAGUGGAGCCUACUAGAAAAUCGGCAGUCAAGAGGCUCCCAAAGAGGCUUAGCGAGUGAUGCUAAGGUUCCAGACUUUGGAAGCCACAGGCAGCUCACCUCAGGACACCAGAAGCAGGACCACACCGACUCCUCCUCCGUGGUUGACAGCAAAUUCCCAUGCUGAAGCUCAUUUCUUCCAUCUCCCGCUUCACACCCACCCCCCCUACAAAUCCUAGCCUAAGUCUUCUCUGCGCCAGGGGUUCUCAAACUAAUGACAUAAGAAUCACCUGGGGGGCUUGAUAAAGUGGAUUGCCAGGCCCCCCACACCUGCACUGGGGGCUGAGCUUUGCUUUUCUAACAAGUGUCCAGGUGUCCUCUUAAAGCAGAUCCUCCUGCUUUAGCUCCGGAACCACCGCCCAGGAAAGGGCCCACCUCGGAUGGAAGAUGGACUUUUGCUGGGAAGUGAGGCUUAUCCCUUUCCUGUGUGGAGGCCAACCAGAGAGAUGCCCAGGAUCUGACUCACUUGAGGGCAUGGGGAAGGGGAAAAUCUUAUCUUAUGGGCUAGGACAAAGGAAUGCGUUGCCUCGUAAGACUGCUUGAGCAAGAAAGGACCUCAGGAACCCUCUGCCUCACCCCAGCGAUGAGAGGGUCCAAGGCAGUGGAUGACUUCUUCAAAGUUCCCCACCAUUGGUGAGCCUGCCUGAGGCCAGCUCUGCUCCUUCUGUGUCCCAUCAGCCUGUGGGUCUAGACUGGGCUCUGAAAGCAGGAGGGGGGUGGGUAGAAGGUGGGGGAGGGAGCUGCAGUCUUUGUCAUUAUGUGCGUGUGAGAGGAGACCAUAAGAGCUAGAGAGAGCCAGAGAGCUCAUUCACCCUCCCCUCGCAGGUUUGAUUGAGCAAACCUGGUGUCCUUGGCACCUGGCCCAGCACCUGGCGGGGAGUUGGCGUCCAGCAAAUAUGCACAGAAGGAAAGGAAGGUGGCAGCCCGGCUUCACCCCUGCCCACUGUGGGGAGCACUGGGGUGAGGGAGGGUAAGGCUUUCUGAGGUACUUUUCCACUCCUUCCCUUUCUGCAUCUCCCAUCCAGCAAGUCCCGGUUCUUGCUGUGUCCACAGCAAUGCAGCUGUGGGAUUUAUUUUUCUGCUCCCUGUGGUGAAUGUGUCCCUCCCUGAGGGUAUUUUCAUCUUUAAGGAGGACUCAUAACCCGGGCGACUUAAACCCCAGGCAUGGAAUGCGGGGCCUCAGGGUGAGCAAUGUUGUGCAAGGAAGGGAUUCAGGAGCAGUGGGUUCCAGCCGGUUCUGCACUCCCACGCGCCUCAGACUAACCUCCUGCAUCUCGCCUCAGGCCUCAGGGGUCAAUGAUGCUGCUUCCCUGGGGUUGGCUUUGGGGGAAGUGCCCGUGCCACCUCUAAGGGGACCCUGUGUGUUUUACGGGGGCACUUCUGGGAAUUAGCUGAGCUGCUGUUUAGCGCAUCUUUGCCCACCUGCCCAAGGAGUAGUGAAAGAGGGUCAAAGGUGCUGAAUUCUUCUAGCAGCUUCUGAGAUAAGAGCUCCUACCAAGUGAGGGGGGUGGGGGCAGCAGCCUUGGCUAUUUGCCAGCUGGAGACCAAUCCGAGCCUGGGAAAGGGAGUCAAGUCUGCCCCUUGGGAAGCCCAGGGUGGUGUGCGGCCCUGUCUCCCAAUUCCUUUCACAGACUGGGAGUCACAGGGUGCUGGGCAGGGACCUGUGGCAGGGCAGGGACACCUGGAACUGCUGCAGAUUCUUGGUCAGCUGGUAAGCUGGGAGGCCCAACCACCAAGUCACCAGGGACUUCUGAGACAAACCCAGCAGCCCCUUGUCCACUCCACUGUUUUCCAUGUGAUAUCUGAGGAGUACGGUUGCCCCACAGACAUCAGGAUUAAGUCCAUUUCUACAUUUCUGACACAUAGAUAUGACUUGAUAAGGGUUAAAUAGUAUCCACACCCCCUCUCCUUAGGGUCUUUUCUGUACAAAUGACCCUCAGCCCCCCUCCAUAAGAAUAAGGAGAUCAAAUAUCACGCAGUAAUGUUCUGGACUAGGACGAGAACUUAGAACUGAGUAAUUCUGAUAAGUAGGUAAAUGUCUUUGAAGCUCAACUUCCAUGAAACAGAUUCCUGCUUAUUUUGGGGGCACAUAUGAGAGUCCAAUAAGCGAGUGGUUGGGGACAGAAGUUAUGCCUGCAUUAAACUUAUUUUUCCUACCACAGUGGUAAAAAUGAUGUACACAUGUUAAAAACUUUUAUCGGGUUGAAACCAAAAGAUGGAUUUGCAGCUCAGCCCACCUAAGCAGGAAGCUGGGGACCACGGCACCCUCAGCCCCGUCCCUACACCCUUUUACUCCAGGCCUGCCACAAGACCGUUCCAGUGUCUUGCCAAAGGUUCCACUUGGGGAGGUUUGCUGUGCAGCCACUUUGGGCACAGAUGGUCUUACCCCGCCAGAGGGAUUGACCCACGCACGACUGCCUUGGUUCACGACUAAACAGAUUCUCUUAUUAUUUGGCCCUUUAUCUGUUGUUUCAUUCAAUGAACAGCCACUGCUGGCCUGCGACAUGCCAGGCUGUGCGAGUUCACAAUGGGGAAGGCAGGCAGGGGCUAGUCCUUAGGGCCUCCUCUGCCCCCCUUGCAGACCCUGAUGAGUCCUUGAAUGUCUACCGCCUCCAGGAAGCCCAGACCCUCGUGCUGUGACUCCACAGGCACCCCCCACAAUGGGGUGGCCUGGGAGAUGUGUGAGAAUUGCAACAUUCUCUCUCUUUGCCCUGAGAGAGAAUCCAUAUGGACCCCUUGAGAGUGACAGCAGGUAGAUAGUGGCCACGAGCACCAGAAAAGAACCAAGAAGAAAAUUUAAAAUGCUCCACACUCCGACCCCUUGGACAAGCCUUUGUUUUUAAAUGCAAAUGGAAAAUAGUUCAAAUGCUGGAGAAAGACACAGAAUGAAAAGCAAAAUUCUCUCGCUGUUCCCUCCUCCAUUCCAGUUUCCCUUUCUGAAGGUUUUGGCUUUUAAUGAUUUCUUAUACUCCUUCCAGAAAGUAUCAAAUGCAUUUAUCCUUUAUAUAUCCUGUUCUUAGAAGGUUCUCCCUGAAGGUAAGAAUGGUUGGUUUCUCUAUGCUUUGAGAGCUUAACUGUGUCUGUGUGGUUUUUGUUGUUGUUUGUUUUUGCUGUUGUCGUCCUGUUGUGUCUGCAUUUAAAAAAACAACAGCCAGGGUCCCUGGGUGCCCCUGGGUCAUGUGCUACCAGAAAUUGAGCAAAUACAGUACCUGCUUAUUUUGGUAACCAUCAAGUUAAAGAGAUAAACAUUAAUGAAAGAAUUAAACAAGCAAUAUUAAAACUGAGACUGUCUUUAGUGCUAUUUGUCAAAAAUUAACAGCUUUGUGAGGUUAAAUAUAGUGGUUCAGUAUGAAUGAGUAUGGUGGGGGAGGGGGGUCAUUUGAAAGGGAUUCUUUCAUAUGUCUGCACAGAGGCAAAGGAAGAAGACUCUUUGUGUGAGAUUCAUUAGAAUUUGUGUGCAUAGAGAGAAGAAAAGGGAUUCAAACAAGUUUCCCAAUAAAGCACCACAAUUUACCCAUCCCCUUGUGGGCAAAUGCCCAGCCAAGCAGUGUUGGCCCUAAAUGGGACUGCUGAGUCCUGAAAGCAUUUUACAAGUCUAAGGUACCUUCUGGUGGAAACCACAAGAAAAGGGUUAGGCAGGGAGAGCUGGGGCUGAAGGAGAGAGAGAAAAAACAAAAAACAAAAACAAACAAACAAACAAACAAACAAAAAAACAACAGCCAGAGGAACCAGGUUCCUAAUGCUUCUCUGCCUUGAAUUAGCUGGGUCACAUCAGCAAGUUGCUUUCCCUCUCUGAGUGUCAGUCUCCUCUGCUAAAAUAGGGGCUCUUGUGGGGAUUCAGCAACAGCGUCAAUACUGAAAGGCUGGUUACCAGCAGGUGUCCCACAGAAGUCCAAGCA